Molecule: transfer RNA, 87 nt
Filed under: Sarcina sp. DSM 11001
Lineage: Bacteria; Bacillati; Bacillota; Clostridia; Eubacteriales; Clostridiaceae
Rfam family: tRNA
About the family: Transfer RNA (tRNA) molecules are approximately 80 nucleotides in length.
Source: Rfam by way of RNAcentral
GCCGUGAUGCCACAAUGGCUACUGGGCUGGUCUUGAAAACCGGUGAUCCGUGAAAGCGGACUGGGGGUUCGAAUCCCUCUCACGGCG